UACGUAGGGUGCAAGCGUUAAUCGGAAUUACUGGGCGUAAAGCGUGCGCAGGCGGUUGUGCAAGACAGAUGUGAAAUCCCCGGGCUCAACCUGGGAACUGCAUUUGUGACUGCACAGCUUGAGUGCGGCAGAGGGGGAUGGAAUUCCGCGUGUAGCAGUGAAAUGCGUAGAUAUGCGGAGGAACACCGAUGGCGAAGGCAAUCCCCUGGGCCUGCACUGACGCUCAUGCACGAAAGCGUGGGGAGCAAACAGG
RNAcentral lists this ribosomal RNA (253 nucleotides) under uncultured bacterium. RNAcentral's name for it is "partial 16S ribosomal RNA". It matches the Rfam family "Bacterial small subunit ribosomal RNA", at positions 524 to 776 of the family's 1533-position model. The record is from RNAcentral.